ACACUCCUACGGGAGGCAGCAGUGGGGAAUUUUGGACAAUGGGCGAAAGCCUGAUCCAGCAAUGCCGCGUGAGUGAAGAAGGCCUUCGGGUUGUAAAGCUCUUUUGUCAGGGAAGAAACGGUGAAAGCUAAUAUCUUUUGCUAAUGACGGUACCUGAAGAAUAAGCACCGGCUAACUACGUGCCAGCAGCCGCGGUAAUACGUAGGGUGCAAGCGUUAAUCGGAAUUACUGGGCGUAAAGCGUGCGCAGGCGGUUUUGUAAGUCUGAUGUGAAAUCCCCGGGCUCAACCUGGGAAUUGCAUUGGAGACUGCAAGGCUAGAAUCUGGCAGAGGGGGGUAGAAUUCCACGUGUAGCAGUGAAAUGCGUAGAUAUGUGGAGGAACACCGAUGGCGAAGGCAGCCCCCUGGGUCAAAAUUGACGCUCAUGCACGAAAGCGUGGGGAGCAAACAGGAUUAGAUACCCGGGUAGUCCCAUG
RNAcentral lists this ribosomal RNA (475 nucleotides) under uncultured organism. RNAcentral describes it as "partial 16S ribosomal RNA". It matches the Rfam family "Bacterial small subunit ribosomal RNA", at positions 333 to 799 of the family's 1533-position model. The record is from RNAcentral.